AGUGAACGCUGGCGGUAGGCCUAACACAUGCAAGUCGAACGGCAGCACAGUAAGAGCUUGCUCUUACGGGUGGCGAGUGGCGGACGGGUGAGGAAUACAUCGGAAUCUACUUUUUCGUGGGGGAUAACGUAGGGAAACUUACGCUAAUACCGCAUACGAUCUACGGGUGAAAGCAGGGGAUCUUCGGACCUUGCGCGAUUGAAUGCGCCGAUGUCGGACUAGCUAGUUGGCGGGGUAAAGGCCCACCAAGGCGACGAUCCGUAGCUGGUCUGAGAGGAUGAUCGGCCACACUGGAACUGAGACACGGUCCAGACUCCUACGGGAGGCAGCAGUGGGGAAUAUUGGACAAUGGGCGCAAGCCUGAUCCAGCCAUACCGCGUGGGUGAAGAAGGCCUUCGGGUUGUAAAGCCCUUUUGUUGGGAAAGAAAAGCAGCAGGUUAAUACCCCGCUGUUCUGACGGUACCCAAAGAAUAAGCACCGGCUAACUUCGUG
This 492-nucleotide ribosomal RNA is filed under the name uncultured bacterium. Its description in RNAcentral is "partial 16S ribosomal RNA". It matches the Rfam family "Bacterial small subunit ribosomal RNA", at positions 29 to 507 of the family's 1533-position model. The record is from RNAcentral.